Molecule: long non-coding RNA, 1716 nt
Organism: Rhopalosiphum padi (bird cherry-oat aphid)
Lineage: Eukaryota; Metazoa; Arthropoda; Insecta; Hemiptera; Aphididae
Exons: 3
Source: RefSeq, a predicted model, not a curated record
GUGCGCCGGCGGGUCGUGGUGGAAUAAAUAAAACAACUAAUAUAUGACUGCGACUACUUAGCUCACGGGCCACGGUCGCGGUGAAUGAAAUUUAAUAUUUUUUUUCCCCGUGUUGGCGCAGUGAAUUUUUUACCCACUACAACAACGACCCAUCGAUCAGAAUUUUCCCCCCUCGCCGCGCGAAUGCCACGGUUAUUAUUAUUAUUGUUUUUUACCACUCCGUAUUUUUUUUUACCGCCGCGCGACACCGCCGACGACUACACGCUAGCAGUCUCAAUAAACGCGCGCGUGCCGUCGUCGACUGAUCGCUGCCGCCGUCGCAUCUGUUGGCGGCGACACGAUUACGAUAACAUAUUUAAUUCGUAAUAAUUAACAUUAUUUAAUCGUGUUUGUUGUUUCGAUUCACCGUUUUACGCGGAUUUCUUAAAUAAUUAAGACAUCAUAUCAUUAUUAGUCUUCGUGAAACGAUAUCAUCAACACCGCCAGAGAGGACAACGACGAAAACAACAACAAUAUUAUAUUAUAAUAAUUUAUGUAAAACCGUUUUAUCGGGAUUUUGUGUGUACGUUCGCGGUCGUUUCGUCCAGCAAACCCGAUACAACGCUAUUAUCUGAACGUGAUAAGACAGUCCGCCCGUGUGCGUCUGCGAGUGUAUUUUUUAAUAAAUUUUUUUUACCGUAAUUCCGUUUCGGUUUUUUUUUUCCUUCGCUCACCGAUUUCUCCGAACUCGAAAUGCGUGUGCGUGAUUUUACGACGACCACGACUAACGCGUAUGUGUACGACCGACGACGUCGGCGCGGCGGCGGCUACACCGCCGAGGGCCGUAAUCGCUCGUAUUUUGUGUGUGUGUGUGUGUGUUGGGGGGGACGCGCGUCGUCAACGUCGUCAACGCGGCGACGGCCCUUUAUUGAUUUUUCGUAUUCGCGUGUCGUUCAGUUGUUGUUGUUGAUAAGGAGAGUGAAUUUUUUUCGUCGUCGGUCGAUAAAAUUUUUUGCGGGGAGGGGAGUUACUCCCCCACUAGUUGUGGUCGUCCGUCAACCGCCACUACCGCCGCACCACCACUACCUCUUCCGCCGUGGUUGCCUUCACUGCCUCUGGCCGCUGCUCAACGACGGCCGAUACAUGAAAAUAUUUACGGAACCGGAACUAAUGGCAGGAAAAGGCGCACGCACGCACGCACGCAUAUUCGACACGCACACGAUGUGUAAACAAACAAACGUACGGAAGACGGUGACCGAAAACGGCAACGAGCACGAAAAGUCAUCGAUUUAGCGGGAGCCAAAACGACCGAAAAAUUCAUGAAGACGAGGACUUAAACAACAACAACAAGCGGUAUCGUAGAACGCCGCUAACCGUACUUGCUCGCGUUUUCUGGUUUGGAUAGCUGCGAGUUCCAGAAGACAGAUAAAUAGUGUUCCGAAGAGCUUGAUCAGCAAAAGGUGUCUGUUAAAGAACGUAAUUAUCGUCUCGUCGUCGAAUUAACACUAGACUAUCAUAAAUUGAUGACUUGAUGAGUAUUUAGUUCAUUUAUUGAAAAAAAAAAUGAUACUAAUACAAGAAUAAUUAUUGUUUAAAAAACUGAACUGAUUGACUACCAGAGACGUUUAAUACUUACUGAAUAUUACAAAUUCACUGGUUUGCAUACAAAAGAAUGGUUAUCUCAAGAUACAGAAGACAUACCUGGUUUAUUUCCUCAUCACCUAGAUCCUGGUGCCA